Long non-coding RNA from Polypterus senegalus (gray bichir), 361 nucleotides. RefSeq lists it as uncharacterized. NCBI's taxonomy places the organism in Eukaryota, Metazoa, Chordata, Cladistia, Polypteriformes, Polypteridae. The transcript has 3 exons. The record is from RefSeq and is a predicted model, not a curated record.
GCGGCAGACAGAAUCGAUUCCCCUUCAGCAAGCACCAUGAUGAAAAUAACGACGGUUGUCCUUGUGCUGAUAUCUCUGGCGGCUUUUAUGACUGAACAACAACUUCACGUAGAGGCAAUCAAUUGCCGAGGAUACUAUCAAGGAGAAUGCAAGCCACAGUGUAACGCUGGCGAAGAAGACUAUGGGCAACAGUCUUGCCAGGAGAGUUACCGGUGCUGUGUUCCUCCAAAAAUGAAGGUCCAUGCAUAAUGUCUGCUUCAGAUCCUUGUAGAGUUGGCUUACCUACGGUGACUGUCAUUAAUUCUUAAUUCUGUAAUACUUGCUAUAUGCAAUAUGUAAAGUUUAGAACAAAUAAAUACCC